Molecule: ribosomal RNA, 483 nt
Filed under: uncultured bacterium
Lineage: Bacteria
Description: partial 16S ribosomal RNA
Rfam family: Bacterial small subunit ribosomal RNA
Source: RNAcentral
AUUGAACGCUGGCGGCAGGCCUAACACAUGCAAGUCGAGCGGAUGAAGGGAGCUUGCUCCUGGAUUCAGCGGCGGACGGGUGAGUAAUGCCUAGGAAUCUGCCUGGUAGUGGGGGAUAACGUCCGGAAACGGGCGCUAAUACCGCAUACGUCCUGAGGGAGAAAGUGGGGGAUCUUCGGACCUCACGCUAUCAGAUGAGCCUAGGUCGGAUUAGCUAGUUGGUGGGGUAAAGGCCUACCAAGGCGACGAUCCGUAACUGGUCUGAGAGGAUGAUCAGUCACACUGGAACUGAGACACGGUCCAGACUCCUACGGGAGGCAGCAGUGGGGAAUAUUGGACAAUGGGCGAAAGCCUGAUCCAGCCAUGCCGCGGGGGUGAAGAAGGUCUUCGGAUUGUAAAGCACUUUAAGUUGGGAGGAAGGGCAGUAAGUUAAUACCUUGCUGUUUUGACGUUACCAACAGAAUAAGCACCGGCUAACUUCGG